Molecule: ribosomal RNA, 119 nt
Organism: Scophthalmus maximus (turbot)
Lineage: Eukaryota; Metazoa; Chordata; Actinopteri; Pleuronectiformes; Scophthalmidae
Source: Ensembl
GCUUACGGCCACACCGCCUGGUUCAUGCCCGAUCUCGUUUGAUCUCGGAAGCUAAGAUAGGUUGGGCCUGGUUACUACUUGGAUGGGAGACCGCCUGGGAAUACCAGGUGCUGUAAGGC